Non-coding RNA from Tetranychus urticae (two-spotted spider mite), 6769 nucleotides. NCBI's taxonomy places the organism in Eukaryota, Metazoa, Arthropoda, Arachnida, Trombidiformes, Tetranychidae. The record is from RefSeq and is a predicted model, not a curated record.
GGCAACCACGCCUCAACAGAAAGGAUUGGAAAGAUUUAUUUUGAGUUAAGCCUUCGUUGUAAAUGUUUUACGGUUAAUUGUAUUUGAUUAAAGUGUAUUUUGGCCAAUUGAUUUUUACUCUAUCCUAUUAAAGCCUGGAAACAUCAUGUGCCGGAAGAAGCAAAGGUAAAGGCAGUAUCUAAUCAAGUGAGAGUUUCAAAUGGAGUUUAAAUUGCCCUGAGAAUUAAAAUUGAAUCGAAAGAGUUUACAAAGUUUUUUUUUGUAACUGAACAUUCAGUGAAAGAACAGAUGAACAUUUUUGUUUCUGCUGGCUUGUGUUUCUGGUUUUGACUGUUGAUCGCAUAAGGGUAAUUGAAUAAUGCAACCCAACGCCUCCAGAACAAAUACUGUAUAAUGUGUCCAUCAAGAACAGACGAUGCUGAGCAGACGACACAAAGAAAAGGCCAACUGGUUUCAAAUUGGUGGCAUUUCAGGAACUGUUGAAGUUAAUUAUGGGAAAUUAAUCUAGUCAAGUGAUCUCAAGGAGUUAUUUUGUUAUGAUUGUGAUGAUGUUUGACUGCUCGUAUGGAUAAAUAUUUUAGAGGAAUACUUAUUGGAGUUAACCAGAAAGACUAUGAAUUUUCAACGAAUUAUUGAGCAAAUUAUUCAUCAUGUUAUUGGAGUUGCUUUUUUUCUCAAUACCAGAGAGAAAAUUUUGAGCCAACUUGUCAGAAAACACUUUCCCCGUCAUCAAAUUGAUUGAUAUUUUAUUAUUAAUCAUUUAUUAAGACAUUUCUUAUCAAAUUGGUUUGUUGUUUGAUUAAAAUUUAGCAUUAAACAGCAACAAAAAAGUGUGUUACCAUGAAAAUGAAAACACUUUUUGAUGUUUCAGUUUGAUGGAUUAUUAGAUGAAAUGAUUUAGUGUCUGAUGGAUGAGAGGCAAAAUUGACAAUGAAAUACAUAUUCCUGUUAGGCGUUAAAGAAGACGAGUUGGAAACAUUGACAUAACCCAAGUUAAUCAAAGUUUAAUGGAUAUAUUGCUACAUAACUGUAAUCCAAUGGAGUUAAUCCUAUUCUGUGGAAUUAAAUAAUGACAAUUAACACGAGAUUAUAAUGUCAUUAACCAGCAAGUAAGAACUGCAAACAUCUCAAGAGGAAAACGAGCAAUAUUAUCAACAAAAAGAUUCAUCAAGUUUUUGUUGGUGCACAUUAACAAUCUAUUGCAAUUGUUAAUGAUAAUUUGAUUAUGCAUUGUAAUCAUUGGUCCACAAUGUUGACAAAUGGCCAUUUUAAGCUGAGGCUUGACUGAUCUCAUAAUCAAUGAUGGAUUUGGACACAAAAAGAGAUGGAGUCAAAAAAAUUCAGCAAGAUUAUUGUUUCUAAUUGGAUAUUAUCAUGAUGAUGAGGAAAAGGAGGAGUAAACACACACAGAAUAUAAGGAGGGAAAAUAAAAAAGUUAGAUUAUUCAGAUUAUAGAGAUAAUUAACGAGGUAAUCAGUUUGGAUUUAAUGUGAAUUGUGAAUUGCAAGAGAUGUAAAGUAUUAAUUGCAGUGGAUUGACAUUGUCAUUAAACAUUUUCAAAUCUAUUACCAGUUUGUUUCAAUUAUAAAAACUAAUCGAACAGAUUAGUAGCUAAUUUAUCUAACAAUACAAUUCAAUUGAAAAGUGUGCAGAUUAAUUUAAUUCCAUUAAUUUUGUACUCGAUAAUUUAACCAUGUUCAAGUUACGUUCAGACAUUUUAAACGGUAAAAACUGAGCUUCUGUUGUGAUUAGAAAGUUGAAGCAUAGAUGGCAUUAAACGGUACAAGAUGAUAAAAAAUUAAUUUUUCAUUCCAUGAUUUUCAUCAGGUUUUAUUGAAUUUCAAUUUCAAUCAAUAAAUUUUUCUCUUUUAAAGAUACAAGUUCAUUUUGAUAAGCAUUGAACCAUAAUAAUUUCAUCAAUAAAUCUCAUUUGUAUUGCAAACUAAUCGAGGUAAGUGAAGCUGUUGAAUAUUGAAAAUGCUUACACAAGAAACAAAAAAAAGAACCAAAAUGAGAAAAAAUACAAAUUAAAAUACUACAGUCACCAUUGAGAUAAUACACUCAUUAUUUCAACAAUGGCUAAUUAAACAGAAGUUAAAUCUAAUUUUGAUUUAAGUCAAUUUCAUUUCGAUUUCCUUUCGUAAAAUAUCAAUGAAAAAGCUCAAGAAAUCAACUAGAAGUGACAAUUAAGCUUGAAUUUCAGCUUGUUGAGACAUUUCAUGGUUUUAAGCUUUCCAACUUCAGAUUGACUUAAGGAACACUCAGUUAUAAUAUCAAUUUUUUCAGUCAAUGAUACAUGUUACAUGUUAUAUUGACACUUGAUCUUCUUAAUUGAGACUUGAAUCGUCUGACCCUUUUACCCCUCAAUUUUUUUGUUGUUUUAGUUCACCUAGAUGGCAGCAUUCAAAAGUCAAAAGUCAUAAGUCAACGUAAUGCUGUAAAUGAUUUGAAAUUGAAACUCAACUAUUAUUGUAAAAUGUAGACUUUUUUAACCAAAAAUAUUUGUCUUACAAUGUUAUAAACGAUUACUUGGAUUGCCAAAAAAUCUUGAAUAGUUUGAACUUUUAUAUUCAAUUUUUGUGUCCAUUAGUGUCAAGUAUCUUCUAGAAAGAUCAUCAACUCAACAGGAUUAAACCGUUAAAUGUGAUUUUUUGAAAAGUGUUGACCUCAUUUUCAUCUCGUCUGACUUUAUGAAAAGAAAUCAAAUUUAAGAUUAUCAAUAAUCACAUUGAAAGUUCUUUAAUCAUAAUCAUCACACUGUUCAGUCAAGUUUUACCUUUAAUUUUCAACUUGUGAGCUGUUAAUGCAUGAAUCUUUAACAAGAAUGAGUUGAGCUAACAUUUAUCCAUAAGAUUGAGUCUUCCAAACGUCUUUUUAGACUCCAACAAUUGGAUUCAUUUAAUGUAGCCAUAGUCUAGCUUUACUAUUUGCCAAUCUGAUGAUUCUGGAUAAUGAGCCAUGCAAUGAAAAUAACAUUAACAUUCUUUCAUCUUCUCUUUUCCCUUCUUUCCCCUCAUUUUUAUUCAUUCAUUUUGUUUUAUCCUCGUUUCCAUCCUUAGACCUUUUAACAUUCCAAUCUACUCAGUUCCAUACACUCUUAUCACUUCAACCUUUUUCGUCUUCGUUACAGGCAAAAAAAUAGGAUGGCAAAAAAGCAUCAAACAAACAAACAAUCAUGGAAACAUUUUACUUUCAUCUCACCAUCCGGUCAGAACUCAGUGGUGACCAUUUAUAUUAUUUAUCUUGAACCUGAAGGCUGAAACACACAGACACACUUUAAUGCACUGCAAGGAGGAAGAAACAAGAGACCCAAAAAAAGUGAAGGCGAAAAAAGAGGAACCAAGAAAAUCAUCUUUAAUCUCGUUUAGUGAAAAACAGGCAAAAGCUAUUCAAUGGAAAGUGAUUAAUGAUAAUAACAUUUUUUGUCGACUCCAAAUAUCACCAAUUUGAUUAACAAUUUAAAUAUCCAAUUUUCAUUCACAAAUCCAUAUUCAUUAGGAUUCCAGUGAGCUUGCUGAUUAACCUGAAUACAGCCCAAAGCAGAGGAGGAAAGACGAUACCAGUGAUUGUACCAGUAAUCAGUUGAAUGGUGGUUAAUGUUUCCAUAUCAAAUACCCAAUUGAAUAUUCAGGCAAAAUACUUGAAGCAAAAGUUGGAAACUUUAAAAUUUGAAAGAAGCUACCAAAUUGCGAUCGCAAAGGAAAAACCAAAGUCAACCUUUUUUUUGCUUUUCAUUUCCAUGCCAAGUAGUAACCAGAAAACUUCAUCAUCUACCUCUUUUCACCAUUACAUGAUAAUAUUUAUACGAUGAAAAUUUAGAAGAAUCUUAUCAGGAAUAUGAAUAAUAUCCGACAAUAUGUACAUCUACUUAUGAAUUCAGCUUCACGGUCCAAAGAAUUGUAUGAAUGUUUUUUUCCACUUUUUGUUCCUCAUCAACUUACAUGUAUUAGGAGUUAUUAUUGAUAUGAAUCAGAAUUGAUUCUUUCAUGAACAAAUAAUCAUGUAACAUAUUUUUUCAUCCCUAAUUCAAAUUGAAGGAAAGAAAAUUUAAAUUUUUCCAAUUUCUCCUCGUUAAGGUAAAUAAUGUCUAACUCAAUAAUCAACAUUAAAAAACAACUCGCAAGGUUGAUUAUAAUGAGUUGCAAGUUAAUUGUUUGUUUGACUGUUUAAUAAAUUGUAAAAAUAUUCAGACUCAAUCUAUUGACUCAAGAUUUGGUUGUUUGAUAACAACAAAAUAAGGUUUUCUGGAUUCAAGUAAAGCUUUCCUCAUGUAAAACGCAAACCUUACAACCUUUUUUGUUCAACUCCGUUUGUUAUUUCAAUUUGUUUCAUGUUUUGCCAGUUAUUUUGGCUGAUUUAUCUUCAUGAAAAUUUAUUUCACUUUCAAUGAGCAUUCUCUGAAUAACAAUGAUAAAAGUGACAGAAUCUGUUGUGAAAAAAACUGAGUUGCAAAGAAAAAGAAAUGCAAAAAAGAAGCUUGAAAAUUGUUGUGAUCAAAAUUUGGAUUUGGUGAAGCUUGGUGAUCAUUUCAUUGAAUAGAUAACAGUAUAUUUCAUGAUCAUCAUGAAGAUAAUGGUGAAGGUGAAAAAAACUGAGACAGAAAUGAAUGUUCAACUGAGCGUAAAGAGCAAGCUUGGCAGGUUACCAUGUAUUUGGGUUUUCACUUCAUUACAGUGAACUGCUUUUGUUUUCAAUCCUUUUCAUAUUUCUCCUCUCAUUUUAAUCUUGAUCAUCUUCAUGUUCAUGAUCAUCUUGAAUAUGAACCAUCAAGACUAGUGUGACAGCCGUCGGGAUCAAACACUUUAAGUGCUUCUGUUGGGUUGAACCUGAUUCAAGGGUAAAUAUUUUUGUAUUUCAUUUCAUUGAGUUUCUUAUUUUGUUUUUGUUACCAACUUUUCAGACGAUUUAAUGUUCAAUCAAGACCUAAGGGUUAAUCCAUCAAAAGGUGAACAAUGAAAUUGGUGAAAACAAAAGCUUAUUUUUGCACUGUUUACAGUCUCAUCAACACUUGUGAGAUAAAUUUAGUCUCCUCUUUACCUGUCAACACAUUUAACUAACUUUGUCCAUCUCUUUGAUAAUUUGAUUUCUAGGACCUACUUUAUCAUGAUCAUCAUGGUCUUUGUCAUUAUCAUCUUUACCAUCAUCUUCAUUAUAUUACUGAAUGAAUGGUAAAAGUUGUACAGUGUAAGUUAUAAUAACCUAAAGCUAUUUGGGUUGAAGACAAAGCUCAAAGUUAUUGUCAUUGAAUAAACAGCCUUUAUUGGGUUUCACAUUUGACAAUCAAGUUGAUAAUAAAAGCUGAAAACAAUUCACAUGAUUGAGACAAUUAAGGGUUCCAACUAAUUUGUAUAUCUCACAGUGUGACUCUUUAAUGGUUGAAAAGGGCGCUUCAAGGCAAGACAUCAGCUGUUAACCUUUUGUUGCAUUUUCAUUAUAAAAUUUGCUUUUCAAUAUCGACUUUUCAUUUUGUUUUCUCGUUUUUACGUCAUAAAUUGUUUUUAUUACUAUUGAUUGGUGUAUUUACCGGGAAAUUGGUGUUAUUAAUUGGCCAUAAAGGAUCUAUUAUUGUUUCAAUGUGUUCAACUGAGCGUUGAAAUGUGAUAUUUUUUUGUACUUUUCAUGACGGCAAACAUGUGUAGUCAAUGGUUUGUCUGAAGGGUUUCAAAUAAUGUGAUGAUAUUAAUAGUAUCAAUCGGCAGAUGAAUAUAAGAUUAAAUUACAACAUUAGAUGGAAAUGCGUGUGUUUGGUCAGCAAAUGUUGGAUAUUCAAAAGAGAUAAAUAUUGGAUUAAGGUAUGGAUUUUGAGCAGCAGAAUAUUGAACAGGAACAAAGUAUUUAGGAAUUGGAGGGUUUAUUAUUUAUGAAUGAGGAUUGGAGUUGAUGAAAGUUAGUUUGUUGUUAGCUUGACUGAAUUAUUGGAAAAGUUAUUAUGAAGAAAGGCAGAAAUAAGGCAACAAAAUGGAAAGCUAAUCACAAUUUAUCAAAUUGAUUAAUAAUUACAGAAGAAAAGUUACAAUUCUCAAGAUUUAUCUACCAUCAAAAGACCCUGAAUGGUUGAACUCUGUUUUUUUGCAGUGAAAAUAAUUAUCAUUUUGUUGACUAUUUGAAAGGUUAAAAAUAAUUUGAUAUCAUUCUGAAUUUGAUUAGUGUUUAUUGAUAAUUAGACUCAUUUCCUCUACAAUCAGUUUAAAUUGCAAUUUUUAAUUUUGAAGAUCGCGCAAAUUACACUCCAAUUACGUCACUAACACUUUCCCUCUCUUUUUGCACCAUGUGAUUCAUUUUACAGUUUUUUUAAGAAAAGGUUCGUUAACUUAUAAUUUUUGUGCAAAAUUUUAGUUAAUUAAUUGUGUUCGUUUUGUUAAUUACCUCAGUAAGUUUAGCUUUUUAUCGUAAACAUAAAUCUUCAACAUUUAAUUGAAGGAGUUGUUCUGUAUAACAGUGGAUUUCUUGAUUGGUUGAUUAUGACUUGGCAGCUUAUUUUAAGAUCUUUGUAUGGAAAGAUCUUUGUAUUGAAUCUAUUGAUUAAAGUGUCCUUUCAUAAUGUAAUAACAUCAUUAUUACCUGAAUUGAUUGAAAGCCCGGGAAUAGGAUUGAAUCAAGGACUCAGAAAUGGAAACAAACUCAAUCGGUUGAGUACAAAAGUGCUGAACCUUCAAUUGUUUUAUAUGGAAGUAUAACUUGUCCUCUUGCACCACUAACUCGACUAACCUGGAGAAGAUAGGGUCCAACUGAUUCUGGUAUUUCGAUUGACGCUUCUUUGAAUGCAAAA